RNAcentral lists this ribosomal RNA (435 nucleotides) under uncultured bacterium. RNAcentral's name for it is "partial 16S ribosomal RNA". It matches the Rfam family "Bacterial small subunit ribosomal RNA", at positions 29 to 507 of the family's 1533-position model. The record is from RNAcentral.
AGCGAACGCUGGCGGCAGGCUUAACACAUGCAAGUCGAACGGGCAUAGCAAUAUGUCAGUGGCAGACGGGUGAGUAACGCGUGGGAACGUACCUUUUGGUUCGGAACAACACAGGGAAACUUGUGCUAAUACCGGAUAAGCCCUUACGGGGAAAGAUUUAUCGCCGAAAGAUCGGCCCGCGUCUGAUUAGCUAGUUGGUAGGGUAAUGGCCUACCAAGGCGACGAUCAGUAGCUGGUCUGAGAGGAUGAUCAGCCACAUUGGGACUGAGACACGGCCCAAACUCCUACGGGAGGCAGCAGUGGGGAAUAUUGGACAAGGGGCGAAAGCCUGAUCCAGCCAUGCCGCGUGAGUGAUGAAGGCCCUAGGGUUGUAAAGCUCUUUUGUGCGGGAAGAUAAUGACGGUACCGCAAGAAUAAGCCCCGGCUAACUUCGUG